This 1847-nucleotide ribosomal RNA is filed under the name Triticum aestivum (bread wheat). RNAcentral describes it as "partial small subunit ribosomal RNA". The record is from RNAcentral. Lineage: Eukaryota; Viridiplantae; Streptophyta; Magnoliopsida; Poales; Poaceae.
GUCGUUUGUUCUUUGGUAAUUGCUUUAAUUAGACUAGCCUAGCGGACUCACCAACGAAGCGAAGCCGACGUGCCGGCCUCGGACCGCGAUAUUUUCCGGGGCCUCGCUGCGGAGAAGAAGGAGUCUCUCUGCGGAGUUGGGGGUGGGGUGGUGGGUGCUCGUUGUGCGUCGGUGUAGGUGCAGGGUAAGGUGAGGUGCCACUCCAACUCGCUAGGCUGCUCGGGAAGUCGUCGUUGCUGCCGUCUCUCUAGGUCUCUUGGAAAAAAGAGAGGACCUAAGAACGGAAAAAAGUCGGAACAAAACGAGGCCAUGCCGCUCUUUCCCAAGAAAACGUUAUGGGAAGAUCAAGCAGGCUAAACAAAGGAGAAGAAGGGGAGCAAAGAGAUUAAAAUAACUCCUUGUCCCGGAAAAAAAGAAGACUAAAACGUGGUCUUUCGAGGAAAAAAAAGUAAGGCCAAAACCAAGCCGGAAGAGAUGUAGUGGAAGAAGAUGGAGACGGGUUCGGGAGUACCGGCGACGGUAUCUGUACAUGUUCAUGUUGUGGUCGUGCGUGGUCUAGCCGAGGCGGCGGAGACGGAGCCUAGUCCUCGAGUACUUUCGUGAGCUUGGAAAAUAGUGCUAACGAAGGAGGAGAAGGAGAGUGAUGGGGAUGGUGAUGAUGAGGAGAGGGAGGUACUGGGUUCUAAGCAUGUACCGGUGGGGUAGCAGCAGCAGGAUGCGGAGGAGCAAGCGUCGGAGAGGAGACGGGUGGUGGCGGGGGCGGAGCGGCAGAAAGAGGGUCGAAGGCGGCGAGAUGAGGAGCGUCAUACGGCACUUGCCUAGGUACCCCGACCGGGUCGAGCCGGGCCGGGUCUAGGUCGUCUAGGUCCGGGUCAAGAAGCAGGUCGUCGUCGUCGUCGUCGUCUCCCCGGACCGACCACCGAGGAAGGAGCCGGGCGCGCGCGACGGCUACUUCGUCAGGCCCAGCGGCGGCGCGCGCAGGCGGCGGCGCGACCGCGACCGGCCUCACCGCGGGCGCGUCAGGUUCGACAUGGCGCCGCACGCCGUCGCCGUGACCCCGUUCACCCACCGCCUCUAGGCGGAGGGGUUCUUGGCGUGGUCCGACACCGAGCCGUGGAAGCUGUGGCGGCUCCUGCGGCGCGAGCGGAUGCUGUUCCGGCGGAAGGCGGAGGCGCCGCUGGAGCGGGCGGAGUUGAAGGGCAGCGAGGCCGCGCCGCCGCGGGUGGACCGGCCUGGCGAGGUGCGGAGGCAGCUGCGGUUCGAGUGGCGGUAGACGCUCAGGGAGCGGCGCGGGAGCAGGUUCUUGAGCCUCGGCCUCAGGGGGUUCACGAGCCGCAGCUGCCUCCCGCUCCUGAGCCGCAGGCGGCCCAGGUGCGGCGGCCAGGGCCUCUACCUCUUCGACCUGAAGUGCCUCCGCGGCACCCUGCUCAGCCUCUGGAAGGUGGACGCGUUCAUGGGCAGGCACCUCUAGCUGACCCUGAGGUAGGACAGCACUCGUCGUUCGUCGACGACGAUGAUGAUCAUGUCAGAAGCAAUUCGAGGCAUCGAUACUACAUUAGAGAGGAAGCUAGCUUAGCCGCCGACGAGACCGGGCUGCCGUAAAAUCUGCAGCCGGUACCGACGACGCUCAUCGUCAUUAAUUGAUGAUGAUCAUCAUUAAUCGGUCACCACAAAUCAUACGAUGAUGCACCGCAUUAACUAGAGGACCAACUGGACGGCCGUCAAAAAAGUGCCGAUCCGCCGGUCAGCUCUCCACAUUAGUACAAAUGGUCGACUUUCUUAACGUGAUCGAAUACAUUGAUAUUAUACGUACAGAGAACCACGUGGCGAUGACUAGGUCGCUACAC